GAAUUGCGAAAAGUGAUGUGAUCCGCAUAAACGUGAAUCAUCGAGUCUUUGAACGCACAUUGCGCCCCCUGGUAUUCCGGGGGGCAUGCCUGUCCGAGCGUCAUUGCUGCCCUCAAGCACGGCUUGUGUGUUGGGCCCCGUCCUCCGAUCCCGGGGGACGGGCCCGAAAGGCAGCGGCGGCACCGCGUCCGGUCCUCGAGCGUAUGGGGCUUUGUCACCCGCUCUGUAGGCCCGGCCGGCGCUUGCCGAUCAACCCAAAUUUUUAUCCAGGUUGACCUCGGAUCAGGUAGGGAUACCCGCUGAACUUAA
RNAcentral lists this unclassified non-coding RNA (309 nucleotides) under uncultured Penicillium. Its description in RNAcentral is "sequence contains ITS1". The stretch from base 1 to 103 matches the Rfam family "5.8S ribosomal RNA", at positions 50 to 154 of the family's 154-position model. The record is from RNAcentral. Lineage: Eukaryota; Fungi; Ascomycota; Eurotiomycetes; Eurotiales; Aspergillaceae.